AGAUUGAACGCUGGCGGCAGGCCUAACACAUGCAAGUCGAGCGGCAGCACGGGUACUUGUACCUGGUGGCGAGCGGCGGACGGGCGAGUAAUGCCUAGGAAUCUGCCUGGUAGUGGGGGAUAACGCUCGGAAACGGACGCUAAUACCGCAUACGUCCUACGGGAGAAAGCAGGGGACCUUCGGGCCUUGCGCUAUCAGAUGAGCCUAGGUCGGAUUAGCUAGUUGGUGAGGUAAUGGCUCACCAAGGCGACGAUCCGUAACUGGUCUGAGAGGAUGAUCAGUCACACUGGAACUGAGACACGGUCCAGACUCCUACGGGAGGCAGCAGUGGGGAAUAUUGGACAAUGGGCGAAAGCCUGAUCCAGCCAUGCCGCGUGUGUGAAGAAGGUCUUCGGAUUGUAAAGCACUUUAAGUUGGAGGAAGGCAGUUACCUAAUACGUAUCUGUUUGACGUUACGACAGAAUAAGCACGGCUAACUCUGUG
RNAcentral lists this ribosomal RNA (483 nucleotides) under uncultured soil bacterium. RNAcentral's name for it is "bacterial SSU rRNA". It matches the Rfam family "Bacterial small subunit ribosomal RNA", at positions 26 to 507 of the family's 1533-position model. The record is from RNAcentral.